This 328-nucleotide ribosomal RNA is filed under the name uncultured eukaryote. RNAcentral describes it as "partial 18S ribosomal RNA". It matches the Rfam family "Eukaryotic small subunit ribosomal RNA", at positions 1470 to 1796 of the family's 1831-position model. The record is from RNAcentral.
CCCUUAGACGUUCUGGGCCGCACGCGCGCUACACUGACCAGUGCAACAAGCAUCCGUCCUUGGCCGACAGGCUCGGGCAAUCUUUGAACGCUGGUCGUGAUGGGGAUAGACUUUUGCAAUUUUUGGUCUUCAACGAGGAAUUCCUAGUAAACGCAAGUCAUCAACUUGCAUUGAUUACGUCCCUGCCCUUUGUACACACCGCCCGUCGCACCUACUGAUUGGAUGACUCGGUGAAGAAUCGGGACCGUGAGAACAAUCGAUUCAUUUCGAAUGUACUUGUGGGAACCUUUCUUAACCUCGUUUUCUAGAAGAAGGUGAAGUCGUAACA